This 397-nucleotide ribosomal RNA is filed under the name uncultured bacterium. Its description in RNAcentral is "partial 16S ribosomal RNA". It matches the Rfam family "Bacterial small subunit ribosomal RNA", at positions 523 to 918 of the family's 1533-position model. The record is from RNAcentral.
AUACGUAGGGGGCGAGCGUUGUCCGGAAUGAUUGGGCGUAAAGGGCGCGUAGGCGGCCCGGUAAGUCUGGAGUGAAAGUCCUGUUUUUAAGAUGGGAAUUGCUUUGGAUACUGCCGCGCUUGAGUGCAGGAGAGGUUAUCGGAAUUCCCGGUGUAGCGGUGAAAUGCGUAGAGAUCGGGAGGAACACCAGUGGCGAAGGCGGGUAACUGGACUGCAACUGACGCUGAGGCGCGAAAGUGUGGGGAGCAAACAGGAUUAGAUACCCUGGUAGUCCACACUGUAAACGAUGAAUGCUAGGUGUAAGAGGUAUCGACCCCUUUUGUGCCGGAGUCAACACAAUAAGCAUUCCGCCUGGGGGGUACGGCCGCAAGGUUGAAACUCAAAUGAAUUGACGGGG